This 651-nucleotide ribosomal RNA is filed under the name uncultured bacterium. Its description in RNAcentral is "bacterial SSU rRNA". The stretch from base 1 to 541 matches the Rfam family "Bacterial small subunit ribosomal RNA", at positions 338 to 873 of the family's 1533-position model. The record is from RNAcentral.
CCUACGGGAGGCAGCAGUAAGGAAUAUUGGUCAAUGGACGAAAGUCUGAACCAGCCAUGCCGCGUGAAGGAUUAAGGCCCUCUGGGUUGUAAACUUCUUUUAUCUGGGACGAAAAAAGGGUAUUCUUACUCACUUGACGGUACCAGAGGAAUAAGCACCGGCUAACUCCGUGCCAGCAGCCGCGGUAAUACGGAGGGUGCAAGCGUUAUCCGGAUUUACUGGGUUUAAAGGGUGCGUAGGUGGGCUUGUAAGUCAGUGGUGAAAUCUCCGGGCUUAACCCGGAAACUGCCAUUGAUACUAUAGGUCUUGAAUUAUCUGGAGGUAAGCGGAAUAUGUCAUGUAGCGGUGAAAUGCUUAGAUAUGACAUAGAACACCAAUUGCGAAGGCAGCUUACUACGGAUAUAUUGACACUGAGGCACGAAAGCGUGGGGAUCAAACAGGAUUAGAUACCCUGGUAGUCCACGCCCUAAACGAUGGAUACUCGACACUACAGACGAUACACUGUUGGUUGUCGUGUAGCGAAGACAUUAAGUAUACCACCUACGGUAAGGUAACGAGUCGCGAGAGUUAGUAAACGUUAAAGUUAAGUAAGUUAGUACGGUACGUGAGACGUACGACCGACGGACGACCGACCGACGGGAGGUUAGGGAG